UCAAAUUUAAUUCCGUGGAUUUUUAGAAAUGAUUUCACCAUUGUGGGAGCGAGUACGAGGCUUGAAGAAGUUGUGGAAUUAGUUCGAACGAUUUAAUUUUCGAAAACGAACGUUAUUUAGGGGGUCUCAAAAAGUGACUUUUUAUACAUACAGAAUUUGGGAAAACUUCCUUCAUGAAAGUUGUAGAGCUCGUCGAUACGAUCGCGUGCAUAUGUGGAACGCAAAAAUCGGAGUUCGUAUGAAUUAGUUAUGAUUUUUUUGAAAAAGUUUCCAAUUUGGUAUAAAGCUUCCAUUUUUGGAAAUUUCCAAAAAUAAAAACAGAUUUUCCAAAAAUGGAAAAUCUGCUGCAGAAAACGCUCUCGGCCGGAAAUCGCCUUGAUUUUUCGUCCGGCCAUAUCUUCCUCCUCCGGCCACCGAUCCUCACCAAACUUCUUCCAUUGGCUUCGUAUGGUCCUUCCGCACCUGUCUGUGGCAGCCUUUCAUGGCGGCGCGGCCUGUAGCGGCGGCGGAAAGCUUGUUCCGAUUUAAGCCCGAUUUUGAGUCAACGCCGAUAUCUUGAGUUUCCGGCCACCUUUCUUUGUGAUUCUUGGCUUGAUGAACUCGCCUUGAGAUUCUGAACCAGUCUCCAGAAGGAAUCGAAGCGAGUGGUGGACGUUUUCACGCUGAUCGGAGCUCUCGCCGGAUUCUGGAAAAAUUCCGGCCACCGUGACUGAGUUUGGUGAUCGAUGGAUUUAUUUGGCGGACGAUUCGUGAGAUUGUUAAUUGAGCUGUUAAGAAGACGCAGCUGGAUCAGAGCGGAUAAUCCUACAGGACUGGAGAAUUCAGGAAGGUGAUCGAACCGUGUAGAGUAGCUGCUUUGUAAUACUCUGAUUUUCAGUUGUGAGGUUUGUUAUGCUCAUUAGAGCUUUACAAUUUACUUUGUACGAGUGAGUUGUAAUAAUUAACUCGAGGUCUUCGAGUUUUGAAUUUGAGCGUGAGUGGCGAGGUUGUU
Rosa rugosa (rugosa rose) is the source of this 991-nucleotide long non-coding RNA. RefSeq lists it as uncharacterized. The transcript has 3 exons. The record is from RefSeq and is a predicted model, not a curated record. NCBI's taxonomy places the organism in Eukaryota, Viridiplantae, Streptophyta, Magnoliopsida, Rosales, Rosaceae.